GCAAGUCGAACGGCAGCACGAGAGAGCUUGCUCUCUUGGUGGCGAGUGGCGGACGGGUGAGUAAUAUAUCGGAACGUGCCCAGUAGCGGGGGAUAACUACUCGAAAGAGUGGCUAAUACCGCAUACGCCCUACGGGGGAAAGGGGGGGAUCGCAAGACCUCUCACUAUUGGAGCGGCCGAUAUCGGAUUAGCUAGUUGGUGGGGUAAAGGCUCACCAAGGCAACGAUCCGUAGCUGGUUUGAGAGGACGACCAGCCACACUGGGACUGAGACACGGCCCAGACUCCUACGGGAGGCAGCAGUGGGGAAUUUUGGACAAUGGGGGAAACCCUGAUCCAGCCAUCCCGCGUGUAUGAUGAAGGCCUUCGGGUUGUAAAGUACUUUUGGCAGAGAAGAAAAGGCAUCCCCUAAUACGGGAUGCUGCUGACGGUAUCUGCAGAAUAAGCACCGGCUAACUACGUGCCAGCAGCCGCGGUAAUACGUAGGGUGCAAGCGUUAAUCGGAAUUACUGGGCGUAAAGCGUGUGUAGGCGGUUCGGAAAGAAAGAUGUGAAAUCCCAGGGCUCAACCUUGGAACUGCAUUUUUAACUGCCGAGCUAGAGUAUGUCAGAGGGGGGUAGAAUUCCACGUGUAGCAGUGAAAUGCGUAGAUAUGUGGAGGAAUACCGAUGGCGAAGGCAGC
Molecule: ribosomal RNA, 679 nt
Filed under: Alcaligenes sp.
Lineage: Bacteria; Pseudomonadati; Pseudomonadota; Betaproteobacteria; Burkholderiales; Alcaligenaceae
Description: bacterial SSU rRNA
Rfam family: Bacterial small subunit ribosomal RNA
Source: RNAcentral